AAACAUAAAGGUCUGAUAUAUUAAUUUGACUUUGUUGCAUUACAAAGAACAUGAUCCAAAGGUUACAAUAAGUGAUACUAACAUAGUAGCUAAGUUUGGACGUUUCAAUCAAUACCUCGACCAUUCUAAAACAUAAUAUUUGAAUUAUCCAUACUGGAAAUGACAUCAUAAAACUCUACAUAAGACUAUAGAAUAGCAGCCCCAUUCUCGACCUUGCAAUCCACAUCUGGGCCAUGCAUCAUCAAUUUAUCUCAGCAAUCUACAACAAUAAAGAAAUUAUAUCACAAGUUAUUUUAGAGAAAACAAGGUUAAGAACGGCAAAAUCAAAGGAGUAGAAACAUACAAAGGUUGAAGGUUAAGAACGACAAAACUAAACUGUUGUGUAGAUUUGCUAAGAAAUACUCCCU
RNAcentral lists this long non-coding RNA (407 nucleotides) under Hordeum vulgare. Its description in RNAcentral is "long non-coding RNA (HVUL_LNC000446)". The record is from RNAcentral. Lineage: Eukaryota; Viridiplantae; Streptophyta; Magnoliopsida; Poales; Poaceae.